CAGUAGCCGCGGUAAUACAGAGGGUGCGAGCGUUAAUCGGAUUUACUGGGCGUAAAGCGUGCGUAGGCGGCUUUUUAAGUCGGAUGUGAAAUCCCUGAGCUUAACUUAGGAAUUGCAUUCGAUACUGGGAAGCUAGAGUAUGGGAGAGGAUGGUAGAAUUCCAGGUGUAGCGGUGAAAUGCGUAGAGAUCUGGAGGAAUACCGAUGGCGAAGGCAGCCAUCUGGCCUAAUACUGACGCUGAGGUACGAAAGCAUGGGGAGCAAACAGGAUUAGAGACCCCGGUAGUCCCUGUCUCUUAUAC
RNAcentral lists this ribosomal RNA (301 nucleotides) under uncultured bacterium. RNAcentral describes it as "partial 16S ribosomal RNA". It matches the Rfam family "Bacterial small subunit ribosomal RNA", at positions 509 to 807 of the family's 1533-position model. The record is from RNAcentral.